RNAcentral lists this small RNA (1328 nucleotides) under Arabidopsis thaliana (thale cress). RNAcentral describes it as "ATSL081850". Lineage: Eukaryota; Viridiplantae; Streptophyta; Magnoliopsida; Brassicales; Brassicaceae. The record is from RNAcentral.
UAAGAUAAUCUCAGGAAUGCAUUUAAAUGAGAAUAGUAACCCCAAAAUUGAAAAUAUACAAUAUCAUGAUUUCAAAGUCGAUAAUGUAGAGUCUUUCUAGCAAGCUGUAAAUCCUUAGAUAUAGUCGCUCUUUUGGUAAAAUGUCAAACAUUUGGUGAAAAUUAGGAAACAAAAUUACAAAAUGAUUUGAGAGUGAAAGUGUAACUUAUACCCAACAAAACGAAGAAAAACACAUGCCAACAUAGAACCAUGGCACCAGAUUACCGGAGAUCUCACAAUUCUUAAAGUAAAGUGCCGUGUAGACGCGGUAGGUUAUUCAAUUCCAAACCAGAAACUAUGUAUUAUCCAUCUCACCUUUCAGGUUUCCAUUUUCACUCCUUUAUAAAGGAGUGAAAAUGGUAACCGGAAAAGAGAUAUGGAUCAAUGCAUAAUUUCUGGUUUGGAAUUGAAUAACUUAUCCCGUUUUCCUGACUCUUUACUCUCAUUUAAGGAUUGAGAUAUUUCUGGUGUUGUCGUGUCAUGGCUCUAUGUUGGGAUGUGUUUUUGAACGUUUUAUUGGUUAACAUUACACUCUUAGUGUCUAAAUCAUUUGUAAUAAUAUUAUUUGUCAAUUUCAUUUGUUUGAUGUUUUGCUUGUACUCACAACAUUGAUUGUUAUGUUGUUGUCAUCACGCCAACAAAACUUGGACUAGAAGCAACACACUACUAAUAAUAAAUUGUUCUAAGUUGUAUCAAAAGAAUAUCAUAUAUAUGAAAGUUGGCCAACUUUCUCCAUUUGAGUGACACAUCAUCACACUAGUGAGUGUGAUACGUCAUUCUAAAUUAAUAUCAUUAAAAAAAUAACAAAACUUAGUAAUAAAGAAUUAAAAGUUUCACAUUGCAUUAAAUCAUCCAUUAAUCUCAUUCUUAACUACAUAUUUUCAUUUAAAAGAAAAAAAAUACAAAAAAUCAUGUUAAUGUAUCAACACUACUUUCAUUUUACUUUUCUUAUUUUGCUAUUUUUCUAAUAGUCAUUACUUGAUAACAGAUAGAAAUUUUCGUGCAUUGCAACUUAGCUGUUUGCUAGUUAACCUUUCUUAGUUUAGUAAUUUUAACUAAGUUUUUUCUUUUUAUUACAUAUUUCGUCUACAUGCUAUAAUCUAUUUGUGCUUUAUGAUAAAUUGGUACCAUUAAUAAUAACAUGCAUGUUUUUUAAGUAAUGGUCUUUUGAGACAUUAGGUAUAGUUCAAUAUACUGACACUUUCUCCAAUAUGCCUAUAUGCAAAUGCAAAAAGAGAAACCUAAAAGUGUUGAUUUAAAAAACUGUUUAAUUUUUGCUUUAUUUUUUA